AUUGAACUCGCUGUGAAGAUGCAGUGUACCCGCGGCAAGACGGAAAGACCCCGUGAACCUUUACUAUAGCUUGACACUGAACAUUGAGCCUUGAUGUGUAGGAUAGGUGGGAGGCUUUGAAGUGUGGACGCCAGUCUGCAUGGAGCCGACCUUGAAAUACCACCCUUUAAUGUUUGAUGUUCUAACGUGGACCCGUGAUCCGGGUUGCGGACAGUGUCUGGUGGGUAGUUUGACUGGGGCGGUCUCCUCCUAAAGAGUAACGGAGGAGCACGAAGGUUGGCUAAUCCUGGUCGGACAUCAGGAGGUUAGUGCAAUGGCAUAAGCCAGCUUGACUGCGAGCGUGACGGCGCGAGCAGGUGCGAAAGCAGGUCAUAGUGAUCCGGUGGUUCUGAAUGGAAGGGCCAUCGCUCAACGGAUAAAAGGUACUCCGGGGAUAACAGGCUGAUACCGCCCAAGAGUUCAUAUCGACGGCGGUGUUUGGCACCUCGAUGUCGGCUCAUCACAUCCUGGGGCUGAAGUAGGUCCCAAGGGUAUGGCUGUUCGCCAUUUAAAGUGGUACGCGAGCUGGGUUUAGAACGUCGUGAGACAGUUCGGUCCCUAUCUGCCGUGGGCGCUGGAGAACUGAGGGGGGCUGCUCCUAGUACGAGAGGACCGGAGUGGACGCAUCACUGGUGUUCGGGUUGUCAUGCCAAUGGCACUGCCCGGUAGCUAAAUGCGGAAGAGAUAAGUGCUGAAAGCAUCUAAGCACGAAACUUGCCCCGA
This 762-nucleotide ribosomal RNA is filed under the name Salmonella enterica. Its description in RNAcentral is "partial 23S ribosomal RNA". It matches the Rfam family "Bacterial large subunit ribosomal RNA", at positions 2041 to 2802 of the family's 2925-position model. RNAcentral also lists the same sequence under 1 other name. Lineage: Bacteria; Pseudomonadati; Pseudomonadota; Gammaproteobacteria; Enterobacterales; Enterobacteriaceae. The record is from RNAcentral.